Molecule: long non-coding RNA, 204 nt
Filed under: Amborella trichopoda
Lineage: Eukaryota; Viridiplantae; Streptophyta; Magnoliopsida; Amborellales; Amborellaceae
Description: long non-coding RNA (ATRI_LNC003547)
Source: RNAcentral
GUUUGAACCUAAAGGGUUUGGGGCCUCAAAGGACGGCUCGAGUAUCGAGCAUAAUUGGGUGAUGGUCUAAGGUUGGUUUGGGUAGAAGCAAGGAGUAAGAGCCCGGGAAAGAUUGGUCCUAUUCUAGAGAGAUUAGAAAACGAUCUAGCUUAGAGAGGGAAAGGGUUUAUGGAAUGGUUUGACGAAGUGAAUUGGGCUUCUUCA